This 1586-nucleotide ribosomal RNA is filed under the name Salmonella enterica. Its description in RNAcentral is "partial 23S ribosomal RNA". It matches the Rfam family "Bacterial large subunit ribosomal RNA", at positions 1252 to 2823 of the family's 2925-position model. RNAcentral also lists the same sequence under 2 other names. The record is from RNAcentral. Lineage: Bacteria; Pseudomonadati; Pseudomonadota; Gammaproteobacteria; Enterobacterales; Enterobacteriaceae.
GAAGGUGGCCUGUGAGGGUUGCUGGAGGUAUCAGAAGUGCGAAUGCUGACAUAAGUAACGAUAAAGCGGGUGAAAAGCCCGCUCGCCGGAAGACCAAGGGUUCCUGUCCAACGUUAAUCGGGGCAGGGUGAGUCGACCCCUAAGGCGAGGCCGAAAGGCGUAGUCGAUGGGAAACGGGUUAAUAUUCCCGUACUUGGUGUUACUGCGAAGGGGGGACGGAGAAGGCUAUGUUGGCCGGGCGACGGUUGUCCCGGUUUAAGCGUGUAGGCUGGUUUUCCAGGCAAAUCCGGAAAAUCAAGGCUGAGGCGUGACGACGAGGCACUACGGUGCUGAAGCAACAAAUGCCCUGCUUCCAGGAAAAGCCUCUAAGCAUCAGGUAACAUCAAAUCGUACCCCAAACCGACACAGGUGGUCAGGUAGAGAAUACCAAGGCGCUUGAGAGAACUCGGGUGAAGGAACUAGGCAAAAUGGUGCCGUAACUUCGGGAGAAGGCACGCUGACACGUAGGUGAAGUGAUUUACUCAUGGAGCUGAAGUCAGUCGAAGAUACCAGCUGGCUGCAACUGUUUAUUAAAAACACAGCACUGUGCAAACACGAAAGUGGACGUAUACGGUGUGACGCCUGCCCGGUGCCGGAAGGUUAAUUGAUGGGGUCAGCGCAAGCGAAGCUCCUGAUCGAAGCCCCGGUAAACGGCGGCCGUAACUAUAACGGUCCUAAGGUAGCGAAAUUCCUUGUCGGGUAAGUUCCGACCUGCACGAAUGGCGUAAUGAUGGCCAGGCUGUCUCCACCCGAGACUCAGUGAAAUUGAACUCGCUGUGAAGAUGCAGUGUACCCGCGGCAAGACGGAAAGACCCCGUGAACCUUUACUAUAGCUUGACACUGAACAUUGAGCCUUGAUGUGUAGGAUAGGUGGGAGGCUUUGAAGUGUGGACGCCAGUCUGCAUGGAGCCGACCUUGAAAUACCACCCUUUAAUGUUUGAUGUUCUAACGUGGACCCGUAAUCCGGGUUGCGGACAGUGUCUGGUGGGUAGUUUGACUGGGGCGGUCUCCUCCUAAAGAGUAACGGAGGAGCACGAAGGUUGGCUAAUCCUGGUCGGACAUCAGGAGGUUAGUGCAAUGGCAUAAGCCAGCUUGACUGCGAGCGUGACGGCGCGAGCAGGUGCGAAAGCAGGUCAUAGUGAUCCGGUGGUUCUGAAUGGAAGGGCCAUCGCUCAACGGAUAAAAGGUACUCCGGGGAUAACAGGCUGAUACCGCCCAAGAGUUCAUAUCGACGGCGGUGUUUGGCACCUCGAUGUCGGCUCAUCACAUCCUGGGGCUGAAGUAGGUCCCAAGGGUAUGGCUGUUCGCCAUUUAAAGUGGUACGCGAGCUGGGUUUAGAACGUCGUGAGACAGUUCGGUCCCUAUCUGCCGUGGGCGCUGGAGAACUGAGGGGGGCUGCUCCUAGUACGAGAGGACCGGAGUGGACGCAUCACUGGUGUUCGGGUUGUCAUGCCAAUGGCACUGCCCGGUAGCUAAAUGCGGAAGAGAUAAGUGCUGAAAGCAUCUAAGCACGAAACUUGCCCCGAGAUGAGUUCUCCCUGAGACUU